This 254-nucleotide ribosomal RNA is filed under the name uncultured bacterium. RNAcentral's name for it is "partial 16S ribosomal RNA". It matches the Rfam family "Bacterial small subunit ribosomal RNA", at positions 524 to 776 of the family's 1533-position model. The record is from RNAcentral.
UACGUAGGGUGCGAGCGUUAAUCGGAAUUACUGGGCGUAAAGCGUGCGUAGGUGGUUUGUUAAGUCUGUUGUGAAAAGCCCCGGGCUCAACCUGGGAAUGGCAAUGGAUACUGGCAAGCUAGAGUGCGGUAGAGGGUAGUGGAAUUCCCGGUGUAGCGGUGAAAUGCGUAGAUAUCUGGAGGAACACCGGUGGCGAAGGCGGCAUCCUGGACCGGCAUUGACGCUGAGGCGCGAAAGCCAGGGGAGCAAACGGG